RNAcentral lists this long non-coding RNA (359 nucleotides) under Drosophila melanogaster (fruit fly). Its description in RNAcentral is "antisense RNA:CR46470 (Dmel_CR46470)". Lineage: Eukaryota; Metazoa; Arthropoda; Insecta; Diptera; Drosophilidae. The record is from RNAcentral.
GUUUGUGUGAGGAUGAAAUUCAAUCAGUUGGCCAUAAACAUAUCCGUUGCAGCAACUCCUAGUUGAGUUAAUGACCAGUCGAGAAAUCCCGACUUCCUCUACGUGUAUAAUUUGCAUGCAACCACCUCGCGGAGAGGGUGUAUCUCCAGCUCCAGCUCCAUCCGCAUCUGCAUCUGCAUCGGUGGUUGUAUCGCGAACGAGUUAUAUGCCAAAGUGGUGCAGCAACAACAAUAAAUAUAUAUCUCCAAAGGUCGCGUGAGAGUGUGUGCGUUUCGAUCUUUCACUAUGGCUCUUUGUGUUAUCUUUUUUGCGCUCACUGACUCACGGCACCAACACCAGCGCAGACUCUCGCACACACA